GGGUAUUGAGCUUGAACAGCCAUUGAAGAAUGAUCAAACACAAGUAAGCUGUGUGUGUGUAUAUAUAUAGAAGUAAGGGAUUUUGAUUGGUAAAAGAGAGUGGGGAGGAAGGGAAGGCCUAAUUAAGGCAAACACAGAAACAGCAUGAAUGAGAAGAAGAUGCCCCAAACUAUGGAAAUACCAACAAGUAUUCAAAGACUUUAUUUGAUUCUUGAUAGAGAGAAAAGAAUGAAUCUUUCUUCUUUUAUGUUGGAGAAGAAGAAGCCAACCCUUAACCCAUUAAGAACACCAACAUGACCAUGUUUCCACCUAAGAAACUCAUCUUCUUCUUUUUUUAAUGUUUUAGUAGUAGCUUAACACCUAAUAAAUGGUUUUAUGGGAGAGAGAGAAGGAGAUGCGAUCAAAACGAAUGAGUCCAAAUGGUAGAGGGAGAGCCCCUCUUAUUGUGGUUCCUUGUUCUUUCGCGUGGGCUUUGUUUUUUUUUCUUUUCUUUCAACACGGCAAGAGGGACUCUC
This 515-nucleotide unclassified non-coding RNA is filed under the name Hevea brasiliensis (rubber tree). Lineage: Eukaryota; Viridiplantae; Streptophyta; Magnoliopsida; Malpighiales; Euphorbiaceae. The record is from RNAcentral.